AUGGUGAAGGAGAAGACGGCGGCGCUAGAGCGCGCGAAGAAGGCGAUGGCGACGGGGAAGGCAAAAGGAAGAGCGACCAGCCGGGGCGGGUCUUCGUCCAGGUCCCGCCUGCCGCAAGGCUGGGUCCAAGGGGAUUGGAUCCGGUCGACCAUCACCGAGAAAGAUCUCGCUGAUAUGGCCAACGAUGGUUUGAUCCCCCACGGAGCAGCGAGGCUCCCGGGGAACGAGUGUCAACCACAGUCGGAAGAGGGUGAGUGUGUUCUUCUGGCCACCCACGUCGACCGUGGAUUUUCUCUGCCUCCGAGUGUUUUCUUCCGUGGUUUCUUGAAUUUCUUUGGUGCGCAACUCCAUCACUUCAAUCCGAAUUCCAUCACAUACCUUGCUGCCUUCGUGUCCAUGUGCGAGAACUUCCUGGAUUGCCGACCGCACUGGGGUCUGUUCAAGCACAUAUUCACUUGUCGUUCUCAGACAGUGAAAAAGGCGAGUCCAGAUGACGAUAAGACCAAGGUUAUUCAGAUGUGUGGAGGUCUGGGGAUCCAGAUGAGAAACAAGAGCACCUUUCCGGGCAUGACCCUCCCUGAGUCGGUCAGAGGAUGGCAGUCGACUUGGUUUUACUGCCAAAACGAGUCGACGCCGGGGCAGUCGAGUGGUCUCCCUCCGUUCUCUAUGGACCGAGCGCAGAAGCCCUCUUCUCUGAAGGUGCUCCCUGAGGAGAAAGCCUAA
RNAcentral lists this ribosomal RNA (723 nucleotides) under Triticum aestivum (bread wheat). Its description in RNAcentral is "partial small subunit ribosomal RNA". The record is from RNAcentral. Lineage: Eukaryota; Viridiplantae; Streptophyta; Magnoliopsida; Poales; Poaceae.